UACUGGCAGGAUCAACCAGGCAACAGUGAAGAACAAGUAUCCUCUUCCCCGGAUCGACGAGCUCUUCGAUCUGUUUCAGGGUGCGCAGUUCUUUUCGAAGAUUGAUUUGAGAUCAGGCUACCAUCAGCUUCGAGUCAGAGAGCAGGACGUGCAGAAGACAGCGUUUCGUACUCGCUACGGGCAUUAUGAGUUCCUUGUGAUGCCGUUCGGGUUGACGAACGCUCCAGCAGUGUUCAUGGCUUUGAUGAACAAGAUCUUCGCCCCGUACCUCGACAGCUUCACAGUCGUGUUCAUCGACGAUGUGUUGGUCUACUCCAGGUCCAGAGAGGAGCAUGAGCAGCAUUUGAGGACAUCUUUGCAGUUGCUACGUGACAACCAGUUGUACGCGAAGCUCAGCA
This 398-nucleotide unclassified non-coding RNA is filed under the name Lindera erythrocarpa. RNAcentral describes it as "partial miscellaneous RNA". The record is from RNAcentral. Lineage: Eukaryota; Viridiplantae; Streptophyta; Magnoliopsida; Laurales; Lauraceae.